This 449-nucleotide ribosomal RNA is filed under the name uncultured phototrophic eukaryote. RNAcentral describes it as "bacterial SSU rRNA". It matches the Rfam family "Bacterial small subunit ribosomal RNA", at positions 463 to 916 of the family's 1533-position model. The record is from RNAcentral.
GAAGAUAUGACGGUUUCUAAGGAAUAAGCAUCGGCUAACUCCGUGCCAGCAGCCGCGGUAAGACGGAGGAUGCAAGCGUUAUCCGGAAUUAUUGGGCGUAAAGCGUCUGUAGGUGGUUUACUCAGUCCGCUGUGAAAGAUCAGGGCUUCACCCUGAACACGCGGUGGAAACCGGUAGACUUGAGUACGGUAGGGGCAGAGGGAAUUCCCGGUGGAGCGGUGAAAUGCGUAGAGAUCGGGAAGAACACCAAUAGCGAAAGCACUCUGCUGGGCCGUAACUGACACUGAGAGACGAAAGCUAGGGUAGCGAAUGGGAUUAGAUACCCCAGUAGUCCUAGCCGUAAACGAUGGAUACUAAGUGCUGUGCAUUCGACCAGUACUGUAGCUAACGCGUUAAGUAUCCCGCCUGGGGAGUAUGCUCGCAAGAGUGAAACUCAAAGGAAUUGACGG